UGUGUCUGAAGCUUCCAAUAUGCAUACUGAAGAUGGUGGUGGCAGGGCCUCCCCUGUGAGGGGUGCCACACACACCACAAGCCUCCCUCCUCCUCACUCAGCCAGCCCCAUCAGCCCAACCCAUCUGUGCGUUCCCUCCAGACGCCUACAGGGACGAGAGCUCAGAACAGACGGAAGCUGAAGCCACACUCCCCCCAGACUUGGAAGGUGGGGUCUUCUCUGAGAGCCAGGCCAUUCUUCUCCCUCUCUCUGAUGGAGGCCGAGUCGCACGGGCUGCUGAUCCGCUGGUGGGAGAGAUCAGCAAAGGGCCUGGGGCCUGAGCUGCUUCUGCCAGUUCUAAUUUGUCUUUAGGCAGAGGACCUGUGCUGACUUAAAAUAUUUCUCUGAAAGGAAGUCGUCAGAGCUCUGGAGACCAGUGAUGACAGGUGCUAUAGGACACCUGUGGCAGGCUGCUGGUGUGACCCAAGACCGUGUAAGCCGGGGACUUCAGUCCAGGAACAAUGAAGAUUUACUUUCACCAUCACCUCACCCUCACUUCUCUCCCCACCUAUGCGGAGCAUUCUCUGAGGUCAGGUAGGAAGUGCAGUGUGUUGGCAUUCGGAGGAACGGGAAUAAUGAUGGCCAGUAGUAAUGACAAGCUCUCAGGUUCCAAGCCCUCUCCACGGACUGUUUCAUUUCAGCUUCACACCGUCCCUGAGACAGGUGCUACUGUUAGCUUUUCCUUUCCACACAUGAGGGGUCCAAGUCACAGAGUGAUGAACCACCCAGCUUACUCAGCUGGUUUGUGACAGCAGAGCCAUCUGCAGCAUGUGGCGUUGCUCCGGAGCGGGGCCGUUCUGUUGGGAGGGUGAAGGCCCCCUGGCUUGGAUGGGCCCAGGAGUUCAGAAAAGGCUUAUUUUCAGCACUACCCGUUCUAAACAAGUAGGCUUUAUGAUGCUUGAAAGCUGAUGGAAGCUCCCUUCCUUCCUGGAACAUUGGCUAGAGUUUGACAAGUCUCUGAUUUCCAAGGUCACUGCUUCCCCUCCCUGCAAACCAGCACAGACUGGCUCCUUUCCAGUCUUCGGGCCCCUCAUCCAUCUACCAUUGCCCUCAAAAAUAACUGCUUAAUGGCCCUCCAGUAACUGCAGCCAACUCCUUAAGGGCUCUUGAGAGGAGAUCAUGUGGGAAAGCUAACAGAACUCAUCCAACUUUUAAAAAGUGAGCUUUGAUCAGCUCUUUCCUUGCCUCCACCUUCCCAGAUGAUUUAAAUUGGUCUGCUUCACCUCUCACAGAGCUCUCUCCACCAAGAGCACACGCAGAGCAAAUCCAUCCUGGAUAUAAAGUGCAAAAGUUGGGAGGGAAGAGAAGGGAUGUUUGAAGCCAGAAGGUUCAGACCCAGUUCUGAGACCAGAAUUCCUUUCCCGAUCCAGCUCAUGACUAGCGACUUCACCUGGUUGCCAUAGAAACAUUAGUCUCUGUUGGAUGGCAAGCAGCAUUUUUGACGGAAAGCAUCAGAGGCUACCAUGGUAACACCAAAGAGAGUAAAAGCUGCCUUCUCUCCUGGAGGGGUGAGGAAGGAAUGGAGGAUGCCAGGGAAAGCAGGCUAGAAGGGACAGGCGUCAGAGAGCUUAGCUCUGACUUGAACAGAGAGGGAAUUAAUUCGACAGACACCUAAUACGUGCAAAGCAAAGCAAUAACGAAGAAGACAUGUCUAUGGCUCGCCUCAUCGGGCUAUAAUCAUCUGGUAAUAGAGUUUAUACAGAAAUGUAAAUAAAGGUAGAAUGAGACUUGUAACAGGACAAAGAAUCCUGAAAAGGGAAAUCAACCAGCAAAGCUUCAGAGUCUUAAAGGGGAGGAUUCCGACUAGCAAAAGAGGGGCAGAGAGAACAAGAUGAGCAAACACGGAAGUGGAGGGCACCUGGGUGGCUCAGUUGGUUAAGCGACUGCCUUCGGCUCAGGUCAUGAUCCUGGAGUCCGGGGAUCGAGUCCCGCAUCGGGCUCCCUGCUCAGUAGGG
This is a long non-coding RNA of Zalophus californianus (California sea lion), 1994 nucleotides long. RefSeq lists it as uncharacterized. NCBI's taxonomy places the organism in Eukaryota, Metazoa, Chordata, Mammalia, Carnivora, Otariidae. The record is from RefSeq and is a predicted model, not a curated record. The transcript has 3 exons.